Molecule: ribosomal RNA, 612 nt
Filed under: Chryseobacterium sp.
Lineage: Bacteria; Pseudomonadati; Bacteroidota; Flavobacteriia; Flavobacteriales; Weeksellaceae
Description: bacterial SSU rRNA
Source: RNAcentral
GCGCAAGAUUAGAUAGUUGGUAGGGUAACGGCCUACCAAGUCUACGAUCUUUAGGGGGUCUGAGAGGGUGAUCCCCCACACUGGUACUGAGACACGGACCAGACUCCUACGGGAGGCAGCAGUGAGGAAUAUUGGACAAUGGGUGGAAGCCUGAUCCAGCCAUCCCGCGUGAAGGACGACGGCCCUAUGGGUUGUAAACUUCUUUUGUAUAGGGAUAAACCUAGAUACGUGUAUCUAGCUGAAGGUACUAUACGAAUAAGCACCGGCUAACUCCGUGCCAGCAGCCGCGGUAAUACGGAGGGUGCAAGCGUUAUCCGGAUUUAUUGGGUUUAAAGGGUCCGUAGGCGGAUCUGUAAGUCAGUGGUGAAAUCUCACAGCUUAACUGUGAAACUGCCAUUGAUACUGCAGGUCUUGAGUGYGUGUUGAAGUAGCUGGAAUAAGUAGUGUAGCGGUGAAAUGCAUAGAUAUUACUUAGAACACCAAUUGCGAAGGCAGGYUACUAAGCAACAACUGACGCUGAUGGACGAAAGCGUGGGGAGCGACCAGGAUUAGAUACCCUGGUAGUCCCCGCCGUAAACGAUGCUAAUCGAUUUGGAUUUCGGAUUCAGAGAC